UGGGGAAUAUUGGACAAUGGGCGAAAGCCUGAUCCAGCCAUGCCGCGUGUGUGAAGAAGGUCUUCGGAUUGUAAAGCACUUUAAGUUGGGAGGAAGGGCAUUAACCUAAUACGUUAGUGUUUUGACGUUACCGACAGAAUAAGCACCGGCUAACUCUGUGCCAGCAGCUGCGGUAAUACAGAGGGUGCAAGCGUUAAUCGGAAUUACUGGGCGUAAAGCGCGCGUAGGUGGUUUGUUAAGUUGGAUGUGAAAUCCCCGGGCUCAACCUGGGAACUGCAUUCAAAACUGACUGACUAGAGUAUGGUAGAGGGUGGUGGAAUUUCCUGUGUAGCGGUGAAAUGCGUAGAUAUAGGAAGGAACACCAGUGGCGAAGGCGACCACCUGGACUAAUACUGACACUGAGGUGCGAAAGCGUGGGGAGCAAACA
This 427-nucleotide ribosomal RNA is filed under the name uncultured bacterium. RNAcentral's name for it is "partial 16S ribosomal RNA". It matches the Rfam family "Bacterial small subunit ribosomal RNA", at positions 355 to 774 of the family's 1533-position model. The record is from RNAcentral.